UGGGCAACCUGCCCUCAGCUCUGGGAUAACUCCAAGAAAUUGGGGCUAAUACCGGAUAUGACCGCUGACCGCAUGGUCUGGUGGUGGAAAGAUUUAUCGGCUGGGGAUGGGCCCGCUGCCUAUCAGCUUGUUGGUGGGGUAGUGGCCUACCAAGGCGACGACGGGUAGCCGGCCUGAGGGGGUGACCGGCCACACUGGGACUGAGACACGGCCCAGACUCCUACGGGA
This 228-nucleotide ribosomal RNA is filed under the name uncultured bacterium. RNAcentral's name for it is "partial 16S ribosomal RNA". It matches the Rfam family "Bacterial small subunit ribosomal RNA", at positions 118 to 346 of the family's 1533-position model. The record is from RNAcentral.